Molecule: ribosomal RNA, 601 nt
Filed under: uncultured archaeon
Lineage: Archaea
Description: bacterial SSU rRNA
Rfam family: Archaeal small subunit ribosomal RNA
Source: RNAcentral
UCCCUAUGGGGUGCAGCAGGCGCGAAAUCUUUGCAAUAGGCGAAAGCCUGACAAGGUUACUCUGAGUGGUUUCCGCUAAGGAAAUCUUUUGGCACCUCUAAAAAUGGUGCAGAAUAAGGGGUGGGCAAGCCUGGUGUCAGCCGCCGCGGUAAUACCAGCACCCCGAGUGGUCGGGACGAUUAUUGGGCCUAAAGCAUCCGUAGCCGGUUCUACAAGUCUUCCGUUAAAUCCACCUGCUUAACAGAUGGGCUGCGGAGGAUACUAUAGAGCUAGGAGGCGGGAGAGGCAAGCGGUACUUAGUGGGUAGGGGUAAAAUCCGUUGAUCCAUUGAAGACCACCAGUGGCGAAGGCGGCUUGCCAGAACGCACUCGACGGUGAGGGAUGAAAGCUGGGGGAGCAAACCGGAUUAGAUACCCGGGUAGUCCCAGCUGUAAACGAUGCAGACUCGGUGAUAAAUAGGCUUCGUGCCUAUUCAGUGCCGCAGGGAAGCCGUUAAGUCUGCCGCCUGGGGAGUACGGUCGCGAGACUGAAACUUAAAGGAAUUGGCGGGGGAGCACCACAAGGGGUGAAGCCUGCGGUUCAAUUGGAUUCAACGCCGGAA